GACGAACGCUGGCGGCGUGCUUAACACAUGCAAGUCGAACGGAACUGUUUGAAUGAAGUUUUCGGAUGGAUUUUAAACAGUUUAGUGGCGGACGGGUGAGUAACGCGUGGGUAACCUGCCUCGCACUGGGGGAUAACAGUUAGAAAUAGCUGCUAAUACCGCAUAAGCGCACAGCUCCGCAUGGAGCAGUGUGAAAAACUCCGGUGGUGUGAGAUGGACCCGCGUCUGAUUAGCCAGUUGGCGGGGUAACGGCCCACCAAAGCGACGAUCCAUAGCCGGCCUGAGAGGGUGAACGGCCACAUUGGGACUGAGACACGGCCCAG
Molecule: ribosomal RNA, 323 nt
Filed under: uncultured bacterium
Lineage: Bacteria
Description: bacterial SSU rRNA
Rfam family: Bacterial small subunit ribosomal RNA
Source: RNAcentral